RNAcentral lists this ribosomal RNA (542 nucleotides) under uncultured bacterium. RNAcentral describes it as "bacterial SSU rRNA". It matches the Rfam family "Bacterial small subunit ribosomal RNA", at positions 358 to 917 of the family's 1533-position model. The record is from RNAcentral.
GGGANUUUGCGCAUGGGGGAACCCUGNCGCAGCAACGCCGCGUGGAGGAUGAAGUCCUUCGGGACGUAAACUCCUUUCGAUCGGGACGAUUAUGACGGUACCGGAAGAAGAAGCCCCGGCUAACUUCGUGCCAGCAGCCGCGGUAAUACGAGGGGGGCAGAGCGUUGUUCGGAAUUAUUGGGCGUAAAGGGUGCGUAGGCGGUUUGGUAAGUCUCUUGUGAAAUCUAUGGGCUCAACUCAUAGUCUGCAAGGGAAACUGCCGGGCUUGAGUGUGGGAGAGGUGAGUGGAAUUUCCGGUGUAGCGGUGAAAUGCGUAGAUAUCGGAAGGAACACCUGUGGUGAAAGCGGCUCACUGGACCACAACUGACGCUGAUGCACGAAAGCUAGGGGAGCAAACAGGAUUAGAUACCCUGGUAGUCCUAGCCCUAAACGAUGACUGCUUGGUGUGACGGGUACCCAAUCCCGCCGUGCCGUAGCUAACGCGUUAAGCAGUCCGCCUGGGGAGUACGGUCGCAAGGCUGAAACUCAAAAAAAUUGACGGA